CACGAGAGUAUAAGCUACCUACUGAUGCGGUUGAAAAAAAGAUUGUGAGUUUUGUAUUAGUAUAUAUAUGUAAAAUGUAACAUGUGCCUAUAGUUUCUAUUUUUAUAUCCUGAUGUACUUUAGUAAGAUUGUGAUAUUGUUUAACAUCCUUAUUGUAGGAAGAUGUUGAAAAACUUCUUAAAACAGGAACCGUUGAGGAUGCUAACAAACUUGUAUAUGGUGACAAGAAACACAGCCGCUCGUACCUACUAGGUAGACUUAUUCAGAGAAGGGAAGCAAAGGGGAAAUCUGUGACACACACUGAGGCUACUAUCUCUGAUCAGGUGUUGGCCAGUUUGACAGAAAAGAUCCGAGAACAACUUGCUCAAGAGAUGGAAGAAAAAAUGGAUCAGAAGGUUCGGGAGAAUGUCAAGGCAAUGGUGUCCAAGUUGGCAGAAAAGAAUCCAGACCUCAAGAUUGAUAUUCAAGACCUCAGUGUCGAGCCGACGUAUGAUGCCUCUGCAAGUGGAGCGAACACAGCCACCACGGACACUACUUGACUUGAUGUGUGAUGCACUUAG
This 560-nucleotide long non-coding RNA is filed under the name Daucus carota (carrot). RNAcentral describes it as "long non-coding RNA (DCAR_LNC002725)". The record is from RNAcentral. Lineage: Eukaryota; Viridiplantae; Streptophyta; Magnoliopsida; Apiales; Apiaceae.